Molecule: transfer RNA, 72 nt
Organism: Camelus ferus (Wild Bactrian camel)
Lineage: Eukaryota; Metazoa; Chordata; Mammalia; Artiodactyla; Camelidae
Rfam family: tRNA
About the family: Transfer RNA (tRNA) molecules are approximately 80 nucleotides in length.
Source: Rfam
GAGGGUAUAGCUCAAUGGUAGAGGGCGUGCCUAGCAUGCACGAGGUCCUGGGUUCCAUCCUCAGUACCUCCU